This is a non-coding RNA of Acanthosepion pharaonis, 114 nucleotides long. The record is from the annotation of a GenBank genome assembly. Lineage: Eukaryota; Metazoa; Mollusca; Cephalopoda; Sepiida; Sepiidae.
UUACGGACAUAUCACGUUGAAACACCGAUUCACGUACGAUCACCGAAGUUAAGCAAUGUUAAACCUGGUCUGUACUUAAGUGAGUGACGCCUCGGGAAUAUCAGGUGUUGUACG